UUAUAUUGUGAAUAUUAGGUUAAAUUAUAUCUUUGAAUUUGGUAGUUGUUAAUGCAAUUUAGAGAAUCCUUUUAGAAUUGGGGUUUUAUUGAUUUGAUAAUCCCUUUAAUUGUUAGUAGGUUCCAUCUAAUAAGAUGUAAUAUCAUGGAAUUUACAAUUAAUUUAGACUAUUGAUUUGGUUUGGUUUAUUAUCAUGGGAUUUACAAUUA
RNAcentral lists this long non-coding RNA (209 nucleotides) under Brassica napus (rape). RNAcentral describes it as "long non-coding RNA (BNAP_LNC002376)". Lineage: Eukaryota; Viridiplantae; Streptophyta; Magnoliopsida; Brassicales; Brassicaceae. The record is from RNAcentral.